Molecule: ribosomal RNA, 589 nt
Filed under: bacterium 2c12710
Lineage: Bacteria
Description: bacterial SSU rRNA
Rfam family: Bacterial small subunit ribosomal RNA
Source: RNAcentral
UGGGACUGAGACACGGCCCAGACUCCUACGGGAGGCAGCAGUGGGGAAUAUUGCACAAUGGGCGAAAGCCUGAUGCAGCGACGCCGCGUGAGGGAUGACGGCCUUCGGGUUGUAAACCUCUUUCAGCAGGGAAGAAGCGAAAGUGACGGUACCUGCAGAAGAAGCGCCGGCUAACUACGUGCCAGCAGCCGCGGUAAUACGUAGGGCGCAAGCGUUGUCCGGAAUUAUUGGGCGUAAAGAGCUCGUAGGCGGCUUGUCACGUCGGUUGUGAAAGCCCGGGGCUUAACCCCGGGUCUGCAGUCGAUACGGGCAGGCUAGAGUGUGGUAGGGGAGAUCGGAAUUCCUGGUGUAGCGGUGAAAUGCGCAGAUAUCAGGAGGAACACCGGUGGYGAAGGYGGAUCUCUGGGCCAUUACUGACGCUGAGGAGCGAAAGCGUGGGGAGCGAACAGGAUUAGAUACCCUGGUAGUCCACGCCGUAAACGGUGGGAACUAGGUGUUGGCGACAUUCCACGUCGUCGGUGCCGCAGCUAACGCAUUAMGUUCCCCGCCUGGGGAGUACGGCCGCAAGGCUAAAACUCAAAGGAAUUGA